AUGUCUUUGUGCCAGCAUUUUGGGGGCAGCAGUGCAGUCGUUAUACAAGAAGAACAAAGUCAGAUAGUUGCAAGUGCAAUGCUGGUCCAUGACCUGGAGCUGUUGGGGGUGACAUCUUUCAUCAACACUCUGGUCACAGUCAGACAAGGUAAGACAAUGACAGAGGGACAGUCAGGAGUAGCAGGGGACAGGGCUGCCUACAGGAUUACUCACACUAUACUUCAGGAUAGGACUGUGGGCCAGAUCCUGAACUUAGCUGAAUCUUGAGGCUUAAGGGGAGAGGGUGAAGCUGGUAUACAUCCCUGGCCUUGGAGGAUUACCCAUGGCGUCUGGGAGGGUGUCUCCUGGGAUCUGAACAGUAAUAUAUAUAUAUAUUUAAGUGUUCUAGAAAAGGUGUGAACACUCAGAUGAAAAUGUUUUGUUUUGUUUUGUUUUGUUUUUUGUAAUAGAAUACAAUAUUAAUCGUAGCAUGGAGGACAGUUGACUGUGAAAAAUUGAAAAUAAGCCCUGCGAAG
RNAcentral lists this long non-coding RNA (515 nucleotides) under Meleagris gallopavo (turkey). RNAcentral describes it as "lncRNA (ENSMGAG00000018194.1)". The record is from RNAcentral. Lineage: Eukaryota; Metazoa; Chordata; Aves; Galliformes; Phasianidae.